CAGCCGCCGCGGUAACACGAAGGGUGCAAGCGUUAAUCGGAAUUACUGGGCGUAAAGCGUGCGUAGGCGGUGAGUUAAGUCUGCUGUGAAAUCCCCGGGCUCAACCUGGGAAUGGCAGUGGAUACUGGCUCGCUAGAGUGUGUCAGAGGAUGGUGGAAUUCCCGGCGUAGCGGUGAAAUGCGUAGAGAUCGGGAGGAACAUCAGUGGCGAAGGCGGCCAUCUGGGACAACACUGACGCUGAGGCACGAAAGCGUGGGGAGCAAACAGGAUUAGAUACCCCCGUAGUCCCUGUCUCUUAUAA
RNAcentral lists this ribosomal RNA (301 nucleotides) under uncultured bacterium. Its description in RNAcentral is "partial 16S ribosomal RNA". It matches the Rfam family "Bacterial small subunit ribosomal RNA", at positions 509 to 809 of the family's 1533-position model. The record is from RNAcentral.